This 402-nucleotide ribosomal RNA is filed under the name uncultured bacterium. Its description in RNAcentral is "bacterial SSU rRNA". It matches the Rfam family "Bacterial small subunit ribosomal RNA", at positions 37 to 479 of the family's 1533-position model. The record is from RNAcentral.
ACGGAACGUGGCGGCAGGCUUAACACAUGCAAAGUCGAACGCCCCGCAAGGGGAGUGGCAGACGGGUGAGUAACGCGUGGGAACAUACCCUUUCCUGCGGAAUAGCUCCGGGAAACUGGAAUUAAUACCGCAUACGCCCUACGGGGGAAAGAUUUAUCGGGGAAGGAUUGGCCCGCGUUGGAUUAGNUAGUUGGUGGGGUAAAGGCCUACCAAGGCGACGAUCCAUAGCUGGUCUGAGAGGAUGAUCAGCCACAUUGGGACUGAGACACGGCCCAAACUCCUACGGGAGGCAGCAGUGGGGAAUAUUGGACAAUGGGCGCAAGCCUGAUCCAGCCAUGCCGCGUGAGUGAUGAAGGCCUUAGGGUUGUAAAGUCUUUCACCGGAGAAGAUAAUGACGGUAUC